ACGUAGGUCUCGAGCGUUAUCCGGAUUUACUGGGCGUAAAGUGUCCGUAGCCUGAUAUAUAAGUCUGUUUUCAAAUACUCUGCCUCAAUCAGAGAAAGGGGAUAGAUACUGUAUAUCUAGAAAUUGUUAGAGGUUAGUGGAAUUUCCGGUGGAGCGGUGAAAUGUGUUGAUAUCGGAAAGAAUGCCGAAAGCGAAAGCAGCUAACUAUGAUAAAUUUGACGGUGAUGGACGAAAGCUUGGGGAGCAAACGG
RNAcentral lists this ribosomal RNA (251 nucleotides) under uncultured prokaryote. Its description in RNAcentral is "partial 16S rRNA". It matches the Rfam family "Bacterial small subunit ribosomal RNA", at positions 525 to 775 of the family's 1533-position model. The record is from RNAcentral.